UCUAAGCCUCCAAGGGAUGGCAGAGCCAUGAGAUGAGACAUGCUUGGGUCCCUGAAUCACCAUAUGGGUCCCUGAAUCACCACCAGGACGAUCUUCAUCAGAUUGUGAUUCUGGUUUUCAGCAUUCCCAACACUGAUGACCUAGAAGAAAAUGAAGUCAUGCAACAGUGCCUCUCUGAGUUUCCUCUGAUGAGGCACCCUCCUUGGUCCACGUGGUUCAUUCGACAGACUGCCCACAACUCACCAUUGCAGGGAUGAAUGGAAGACCAAGACCUGACCGAGCAGAGUCAUGGUGAUUGGUCUGGGGACAAAAAUGGGAUGGGAGGCAGCCCAACGAGAGUCUACACUGUGGAUUUUGCUGGAACUGUUGGAAAGGAUGUGCUGAGGUUGCUAAGCUAAUAGGAUUUAAACCUGGAGCUGCAGACAGUCGUCAUCACCUGCUCUUGAGGAAAGCCUGCAGAGCAUGAAGCUAACACUAAGGGGUGAGGGACCAAGAGGUGAAGAGACGGGCUUUGGCUUAUGGCUGUUUGAGUUGAGCUUGUCUCUUGCAUCCAAAAUUACUCAGAAUUCUGAGUAAUACUUGACC
Molecule: long non-coding RNA, 585 nt
Organism: Balaenoptera acutorostrata (minke whale)
Lineage: Eukaryota; Metazoa; Chordata; Mammalia; Artiodactyla; Balaenopteridae
Exons: 3
Source: RefSeq, a predicted model, not a curated record